Molecule: ribosomal RNA, 250 nt
Filed under: uncultured bacterium
Lineage: Bacteria
Description: partial 16S ribosomal RNA
Rfam family: Bacterial small subunit ribosomal RNA
Source: RNAcentral
UACGGAGGGUGCAAGCGUUGUCCGGAUUUAUUGGGUUUAAAGGGUGCGUAGGCGGCUUUUUAAGUCAGUGGUGAAAUCCAUCAGCUCAACUGAUGAACUGCCAUUGAUACUGGGAAGCUUGAGUACAGACGAGGUAGGCGGAAUUGAAGGUGUAGCGGUGAAAUGCAUAGAUAUCUUCAAGAACACCGAUUGCGAAGGCAGCUUACUAGGCUGUAACUGACGCUGAGGCACGAAAGUGCGGGGAUCAAAC